UACAGAGGGGGCAAGCGUUGUUCGGAAUUACUGGGCGUAAAGGGCGCGUAGGCGGCCGCCUAAGUCAGACGUGAAAUCCCUCGGCUCAACCGGGGAACUGCGUCUGAUACUGGAUGGCUUGAGUUCGGGAGAGGGAUGCGGAAUUCCAGGUGUAGCGGUGAAAUGCGUAGAUAUCUGGAGGAACACCGGUGGCGAAGGCGGCAUCCUGGACCGACACUGACGCUGAGGAGCGAAAGCCAGGGGAGCAAACGGG
Molecule: ribosomal RNA, 253 nt
Filed under: uncultured bacterium
Lineage: Bacteria
Description: partial 16S ribosomal RNA
Rfam family: Bacterial small subunit ribosomal RNA
Source: RNAcentral